AACGAACGCUGGCGGCAUGCCUAACACAUGCAAGUCGAACGAAGUCUUCGGACUUAGUGGCGCACGGGUGCGUAACGCGUGGGAAUCUGCCCUUGGGUGCGGAAUAACUUCUCGAAAGGGAUGCUAAUACCGCAUAAUGUCGUAAGACCAAAGAUUUAUCGCCCAAGGAUGAGCCCGCGUAAGAUUAGCUAGUUGGUGGGGUAAAAGCCUACCAAGGCGACGAUCUUUAGCUGGUCUGAGAGGAUGAUCAGCCACACUGGGACUGAGACACGGCCCAGACUCCUACGGGAGGCAGCAGUGGGGAAUAUUGGACAAUGGGCGAAAGCCUGAUCCAGCAAAUGCCGCGUGAGUGAUGAAGGCCCUAGGGUUGUAAAGCUCUUUUACCAGGGAUGAUAAUGACAGUACCUGGAGAAUAAGCUCCGGCUAAACUCCGUGCCAGCAG
This 442-nucleotide ribosomal RNA is filed under the name uncultured bacterium. RNAcentral's name for it is "bacterial SSU rRNA". It matches the Rfam family "Bacterial small subunit ribosomal RNA", at positions 29 to 514 of the family's 1533-position model. The record is from RNAcentral.